This 799-nucleotide ribosomal RNA is filed under the name uncultured bacterium. RNAcentral's name for it is "bacterial SSU rRNA". It matches the Rfam family "Bacterial small subunit ribosomal RNA", at positions 8 to 794 of the family's 1533-position model. The record is from RNAcentral.
AGAGUUUGAUCAUGGCUCAGAACGAACGCUGGCGGCGUGCUUAACACAUGCAAGUCAGGGGGAAAGUUCCUUCGGGAAUGAUUACACCGGCGCACGGGUGAGUAACACGUGAGUAACCUGCCUCUUUGAUCGGAACAACUUGCCGAAAGGUGAGCUAAUGCCGGAUAAGUUUAUUAGUCGCAUGACUAAUAAGGAAAGGUUGGGGCAACCUAACGCAAAGAGAUGGACUCGCGUCCCAUUAGCUAGUUGGUAGGGUAGUGGCCUACCAAGGCGACGAUGGGUAGCCGGCCUGAGAGGGUGGCCGGCCACACUGGGACUGAGACACGGCCCAGACUCCUACGGGAGGCAGCAGUGGGGAAUUUUGCGCAAUGCCCGCAAGGGUGACGCAGCGACGCCGCGUGAAUGAAGAAGGCCUUCGGGUCGUAAAGUUCUUUCGACAGGGAAGAAUGUUGCUAUGAGUAACUGCAUAGUAUUUGACGGUACCUGUAGAAGCAGCCCCGGCUAACUCCGUGCCAGCAGCCGCGGUAAUACGGAGGGGGCGAGCGUUGUUCGGAGUGACUGGGCGUAAAGAGCACGUAGGCGGUGAUGUAAGUCAUUAGUCAAAGGCGACAGCUCAACUGUCGUACGGCUAGUGAUACUAUGUCACUGGAGUUCCGGAGAGGAUUGCAGAAUUCCUGGUGUAGCGGUGAAAUGCGUAGAUAUCAGGAGGAAUACCUGUUGCGAAGGCGGCAAUCUGGUCGGAUACUGACGCUGAGGUGCGAAAGCGUGGGUAGCAAACAGGAUUAGAUACCCUGGUAGU